This is a long non-coding RNA of Passer domesticus (house sparrow), 3131 nucleotides long. RefSeq lists it as uncharacterized. The record is from RefSeq and is a predicted model, not a curated record. Lineage: Eukaryota; Metazoa; Chordata; Aves; Passeriformes; Passeridae. The transcript has 3 exons.
CCAAAAGAGAAAGCCCCUGUGGGAAUCCUCUGCUUUUAACCCCUGUGUGUUUUCAGAGGCGUAUCCAGGUCCCCAGUGGCCACAACAUGUGAAAAUUUCAAAUCUGGCCACUGAUUGGUUUGACCACAACUUUUCCAGAAACUCAUUUCCUGGUCAAACCACUACACUUGGGCUAUAAAACUGAUCAGCACAAGACUUCACAAAAUAAGGAUUUUCUACAUUAGGUCUAUCGACCACUUGUGAAAAGUUUUUCUUUGCUCUGCCAUGAUCUCCUCCAUGAGCCUCAGGGGAACAGCCUGCUUCACUACCGCCUGCUCCACAGACUACAGGGGAGUGAAUUUCUGCUCCAGUGCAUGGACCACCUCCUCCCUCUCCUUCUCUGACCUUUCUCUCUGCCGGUUUAUUUCUCACAAUUGUGAUCUUUUAUUUAUCACAAUUUUAUUUCUAGUGAAAAAAUGUUUAAAACAGGGUAAAGGAAAACUAUUUAUAAUUGAGUACUAUCUCAAACAACAAAAAGUGGGGGGAUUUCUUUUUGUUUUGAAUUAAAAAUAUAUAUAUUUUCAUAUAUAUAUUUUCCUGGUUUGGUAGGAUCUUCACCAAAUUAUUUUAACUUAUACUAUUGUGUUUGUUUUAAUUAAUAAGUUACAGUAAAAUACUGUUCCAAUAUAUAAAAAAAUACAUCAAUGAAACAUUUGGAAACUCCAGAAUAGUAAAAGAAGAAAAUAUUAAAGUAGCAACAUCACCAUUCAAAAAAAUCAGCUAUAAAUAUUUGUGUUAUAUUUUUCUGUGUGAGUGUUUAUAAUUAUUUAAAGCCACGUUCUGAACAAAUAGGUGGUAAGCUUUAUUGGUGAAAAUCGUCAGAGGGCAAUACCCUUAGUAAAAAACAAAAAGAGUGAAAACCAAAUUCCAAACAAUCUGAUACCUGAAACAUACAGAGUUUAGGUAAGAUUAUGAGAUGCAUAAAUAAUUAAUUAACUCACAAAACAUUUGAUUCCAUGUUUUUAUCUGGGCUACCUACACUACAGAUAGCUUUGCCAACAGAGUUAACUUGCACCACACUUUCACUUGGGUAACUUUGGGGCCAGCCAGACUCUUGGUACAACUGAGGCUGGAUGCCCAACUUCUAUAGUUGUUUGCAACUGUAGGAAACCAUAAAAAACCCACUGAAUUUAGAGAACAUCACAUGGUUCCAGCUGCAUGUUCUUUCUCCCACUAUGAUACUAAGUGCCUGAAGUAACAGGUGUUGCCAUAAUGUAUCCUAAGUUCUUUGUGAAGCUUUUCUCUAAUUAUUAUAUUAUAAGGCACCAAGGUCUGCAAGACUGGAGACAUUUUCUCCAUUAUUGAUACAAUACAAAACAGAUAGGAAGAGAAACCAGAACAUGUUUGUCUCUUUUUUGAAACUGAAAAUCAGGUACUUAUGAUAUCUUCAGAUUCUGAAGAUGGAUCUUUCGUGAUAAUUUUGUCAUCUUCCUUUCAUUUUUUGAGUAUUCAUUGUUAUGUCCAAAAGCUGAUUGCACCUCUUCUUGCUCUUCUGUUACUUGGUGGAUUUUUAAGCUUUUCACACGUGCAAAAUAGAAUACAGUGAUAAAAAGCUGUUGCGUAUUUAAGGUAAGAGAAAAGUAUCGUUGAUGUGGACUGAUUAAAAGAAAUAAACUGUGAAAGCAUGAAAUAGAAAUUACAUACUGAACUAUUUCUAACACAGAUUAAAGGGGAAAACAUAGAUCCAAUGGUCAGGACUGUGCAAUAAAGGCACCCUCACUUACCACUAUUAAAAUAAACAUUCAUACAAAGGCUUAGUAAAAUAAAUUUUCUUCUUUUACUUGAGCAAAUGCUGGUUCACAUCCUAUAUAUCAAAUAACUUGCACUAUAUAUUUCAUUUUAGUCAAUGCAGCUAAUGAGAGAUUUAAUGAAAAUGAUUGGAUGAUUUUUCUUUUCAUAAACAUAUUUGGCAUUUAUAUUGCUACAACUGGGAUUUAUAUCUCAAUUUGUAAAAAAGUCCCAGCAGACAUGAGCCCUAAUUAUGUUAAAGUUCUACACAACAUUUUGAAAGAAACCCUUAGUUACAGUGAAAUUAUGCAUUGUCUACAUAGAGAAGGUAUGUAGAUCAGUAAUAUUUUUAACAUUAUGAGAUACAUAUUUCCUGUCUAAUCUGCCUAUGACCAAUUAAUUUGAUUUAAUACACCAUAAUAAGGGCCUAUUGUAUAUUUGAAUAACCUAAUUUCUUACAAAGGAGAUGCAAAAGAACUUUUAAUAGAUUCACCUGAAAUUCUGGAAAAUUAUAAAUAUUUAAUAAGUAGUUCCAUAACUCAAAAUUUCCAGCUGAAUUGAAGAUCAUAUUUAAAGGCAUACUUACUCUGAUACUUCAGUGUUACAAUGUGCAUAGGCAAUAUUAAUAGAUUGCAAGGAUAAAAUAAUCUUAUUUUUUGUGAGUUAGUAGAAAGGUUUGGGAUUUUUUACCUGAAGGAUUAUUUAUGGAACUCCAAACAUAAAGAUAUAACUGGAAAGGAAGAAAACUGUUUUGUGUUUGCAUAUACAUAUCUGCACGUGUAUGUAUGUUACAUAUAAAUAUGCACGUAUGUAUCCAUAUGGUUGUAUCCAGGGAGUUUUUUUUUGUUUGUUUAUUUUCAUAAUGCUAUCUGACAAUAUUAAAGACAACUGUUUUAAGGUAUAAAAACCCCUUAUUUUGUGGAAAACUAACAUUUUGAAUAUAAAGAUAUCUGAUUUAUUCCUUUAUCUGCUUUUCUUCUCCAAAAGAGUAAUGAACUAAAGCUCUUUGGAGGCAAAACAGCUGAAGAAAGUAAUUUGUUAAAUUUGAUUUAUUUAUUUACAUUUUAAACAACACAGAUACUGUGUUUGGAGCACAUUAAAACUCUGAUAAAAAUGAAAAUAAAGAUGGCUUAUAUUUCUAGAUUUUGAAAGCUAUAAUUCAUGCUUUUAUACUACUUGAUAAAUGUUAUCCAGAAGAUGCUCAAUACUUUAAUAAAUUUAGUUGUCCUAAUAGUGUUCAUUUUUGAAGAAAUUUAGUCCAGGGAUUGAUUUGUUUAGUUUAUUUUCCUUAUGUGCAAUUAAUUUUUGAUACUUGCACGACUUUUUUUUUAUUUAUUGAAAGAAUGCACACUAUAAUUAUUUAA